UACUAGAUACUCCUGUGACAUAUACUCUGCCAUCUCCCCAGCAUACCAUGCAUUCAAUACCCACCCUGAUGGUAAAGCCUUGUAUUCUGGAUGUGAAUCUUCAGUCCACAGAGUCAUAACUGUCAUCACAAAUUCUGGAGCUGUUUAUCCAAAUGUGUGGUUAUAGUUUAACCUCUGCUCGGCACAGCCAUAGCAGUAAGUCCUGAUUUGCUGAUCUUCAACUCUGUGAUCAUGAUCUUUUUUACUUCACAAAAGUGGCUAUAGUUUAACCUCUGCUCGGCACAGCCAUAGCAGUAAGUCCUGAUUUGCUGAUCUUCAACUCUGUGAUCAU
This 331-nucleotide long non-coding RNA is filed under the name Populus trichocarpa (black cottonwood). RNAcentral's name for it is "long non-coding RNA (PTRI_LNC003383)". Lineage: Eukaryota; Viridiplantae; Streptophyta; Magnoliopsida; Malpighiales; Salicaceae. The record is from RNAcentral.